ACAAACGCGCCGUGAACGCAAACAAUCGCGACUCCAAUCAUCAGCGCCGACGUCAAAAGCGAUCCAACGCUCGUCAUAAACACGACAACGAUCGUAGACAAGACGAGAGCAAGGAGAGUCUCUCGAUCCGAGAAGGUGCGCCCGAAGACGACGAGCGGCUGAUCCGACGGACGGAAGAGGUAGAGGAACAUCCACCCGGCGAGGAGGCCGACGAGGACGAGGAGCGAGAGAGGAUGCGAGAAAAGCGAGAAGGCGAGGACGAGGGAGACGACGGCGACGUAGUUCACCUUGAAGUAGGCGAGAUUCUUCCGGAUCCGGGACAAGGCGUCGGUGAGGGAUUCAGGUCGCGCCAUGGAGCUCCGAUCGACGAGCUCCGCCCAGGGGCGGCGUUGCGAUAAGCCGUCGCGGAUCGAGGUGGAGAGGCGUGAGAAGAAGGUGAGAUUCUAACUCCAAAUUAUACAAACCAAAUGAUCAGAAAUAUAAUCAAAGCUAAAAUUGCUUCCAUGUGAUUAACAUUUAACAUCAUAACACAAAUCCCAAAUUAGAAGAUGAAACAACAACAAUUGUCAAGAGAAACCUCUCACCUCUUCUCUAAGUUUAAACUCUCGCCGCAACAGCUGAAGCCGCAGCCGAAGUAGCAGAGCCACCAAGGAAGGAGAGUAACCCAGCGUUAGCAGGCUCUUGAUCGUCCAUGAACAGAUCAUCCGGAACCACAAACGCGCCGUGAACGCAAACAAUCGCGACUCCAAUCAUCAGCGCCGACGUCAAAAGCGAUCCAACGCUCGUCAUAAACACGACAACGAUCGUAGACAAGACGAGAGCAAGGAGAGUCUCUCGAUCCGAGAAGGUGCGCCCGAAGACGACGAGCGGCUGAUCCGACGGACGGAAGAGGUAGAGGAACAUCCACCCGGCGAGGAGGCCGACGAGGACGAGGAGCGAGAGAGGAUGCGAGAAAAGCGAGAAGGCGAGGACGAGGGAGACGACGGCGACGUAGUUCACCUUGAAGUAGGCGAGAUUCUUCCGGAUCCGGGACAAGGCGUCGGUGAGGGAUUCAGGUCGCGCCAUGGAGCUCCGAUCGACGAGCUCCGCCCAGGGGCGGCGUUGCGAUAAGCCGUCGCGGAUCGAGGUGGAGAGGCGUGAGAAGAAGGUGCGGAAGGCGGGAGUGUUGAUUGGUGGCUGAGAUUGAACAGCUUGCUGAUUGGUGACGGGGAGGGUCGUCGGUGGAGUGGACAUGGCGGUGGCGCGUGAGGUUAGGUACGGCGAGAGGUUUGGAUCUUAAGAUUGGAAAACAAAGAAG
This 1297-nucleotide long non-coding RNA is filed under the name Brassica napus (rape). Its description in RNAcentral is "long non-coding RNA (BNAP_LNC006109)". The record is from RNAcentral. Lineage: Eukaryota; Viridiplantae; Streptophyta; Magnoliopsida; Brassicales; Brassicaceae.